Molecule: long non-coding RNA, 398 nt
Organism: Phragmites australis (common reed)
Lineage: Eukaryota; Viridiplantae; Streptophyta; Magnoliopsida; Poales; Poaceae
Exons: 3
Source: RefSeq, a predicted model, not a curated record
AGCACAAAGGAUGGAGAACAACAGCAACAGCCAGCCUCCACCCCCAGGCUACCCGACUUCGGCAGGUGCAGAACAGCAGGGAGGGAAGAAGUCGCGCCAGGGGAAGACAACCUCACGCGGAGAGAAAGGCUUCGUUGAAGGAUGACAUGAUGAACGCCUGCUCUCAGAUGGGGGCGUGGAGAUAUGCAUACGCAUGCAUGACGACGCAGCUGUUGUUGUUCAGUGUUUACCGGGUUGUAUUAGUUUAGGGAGCUCAAUAACUGAAACGAUGUACUGCCAGCGUUGUGAUAUACGUGCUUCGUGUGUAUGCAUCGUGUAUUGUACGUAUUGACGGUUCCGUGAGUCGUUUACAUACGUGAACCUUGUAUGUUUUACUUGAAAAAACGAUGUCUGUUGUA